GGAUAGGAAGAAUCAAUAUCGUGAAAAUGGCCAUACUGCCCAAGAUACAGACUCUACUUUGUGUGUGGCAUGCUGAGACUACUGGGACCCUGAUAGCCCUAUUUCUGGCUCCUGAAGUGGUGGUUCCAUGCCAGACAACCUGAGAGGACCUCAGGCUGACCCCACCACCAAGCACUCAGCUCCUACAGCAGGAGUGUAAAACAGAGAGAAGCACUAUUCUCCCUGCCUGCAGUUCCAAAGUCCUGUUUCAGAGAUUUUGCCUGAGAGUUAGACCCAUAAACCAGAUUGUUCCUAAACUCUUCCCAAAGGAACUGACUUUAUUUGCAAGAGAGUGUGAAAAAAUUUAACCUACACAUGAUCUGAAGAACAGGAGAGAUUGUGGUAAAAGGUAAUGAGGAGAUUUGUUAAACUAAUGAAGAUAAAACAAGACUGUAGGGUGGCUAGUUUGUAGGAGAAAAGGAUGAAUAAGAUAGCCAAGAGGAGACCUAGGCUCAAAACUAAUAUCAAAUUCUGACAAAAAAUAUUUCAAAGUAGCUAUUGUAAAAAUGUUCACAGAGCUAGGGAAAAGCAUGAUUAAAGAAGUGAAAGGAGGUGUGAUGACAAUGGCACAUCAAAUUGAAAAUAUCAAUAAAGAAAUUAUUAAAAAUAACCAAACAAAUUCUGGAGUUGAAAAAUAUAAUAAUGAAAAUUUGAAGAAGUGCUCAGAAGUAGAUUUGAAUUUGAGUUGGUAGCGGAUAGAGUUUGUGAACUUGUAUAUAGAUUAAUAGAAAUUAUGCAGGCUGAAGAACAGAGAAAAAAGAAAAAUGAAUAGAUUUUCAAAGAAAUGUGGAACACUAUUAGGUAUGCCAAUGUACAAGUAAUGAGAAUAUCAGGAGAGGAGAAAGAAAGAGAAGAAAAAAUAUUCCAAAGAAUAAUAGCUGAAAGCUCUCUCAGUGUAUUGAAACAUAAUAACCUGUGCAACCAAGAAGAUCAACAAUCUCCAAGUAAGAUAAAUGCAAAGAGAUUCACAAACAGACCCAUUACAGCAAAAAAUGCUGAAAGUUAAACAUGAGAGAAAAUCUUGAAAGCAGCAAGAUAAAACAAAUGAAUCAAUUAUAAGGGAGCCAAUAAUAAGAUUAUCAGCUGAUUUGUCAGCAAAAACAAUGGAGGCCAAAAGGCAAUAAGAGAACAUAUUCAAAGUGCUCAAAAAAAACCCCUGUCAACCAAGAAUUUUAUAUUCAGCAAAUGUAUCUUUCAAAGUUCAAGAUAAAAGAGACUUUCCAAAAUAAACAAAAACACAGAUAAUUUGUUGCUAGCAAACCACCCUGUAAGAAAUACUAAAAGAAGUUCUUCAUGCUGAAAGUAAGUGACCUCAGACUGUAAUUUAAAUCCACACAAAGAGCAAAGGCUCCUUGGAUUAAUGUGCCUAAAAAUAGAAAUUGCUCAAAGAAUGAUAGAGGUAUGUUAAAGAACACACAAGCCAAACUGAAGGGACUUCCACUGGAUAAAUUGGGGAUAAGUUGACCACCAAAAUUUUAAAAAAUUGAUUAAUUGAUUAUAAACUAUUAAAUAGUGAACCAUGAACACACACUGAUUAAAUACAUAACUUUAUUGAUUGAUUGGAAGUGUGAUGAGGAAUGGGAUUUUAACAGUUUUAAAGCAUAUUUCUACCAAACGUUUAUUAAUUACAUAAAGAAAAAGAGUAAAUCCUGGUAGAUAAUACUUCAUUUAAAUAAUAGAUAUGAACUCCAUAAUAGGGCAAACUGAAAUUACAAGCCACUAUACAGUGUGAAGAACUAAACAUCUUUUUGUGGUAUUCUGGAAAAAGAAUCUUUACCUGGGCAUGAGGAAUCAUGAGAAAACUUUGGACAAAUCGGAAUGGAGAAACAUUUUACAAAAACCUGAAUUAAGGAAGAUUCCAGAAGCCUUCUGCCCCAGAGUCUUCUCCAAAGAUACAGGAGCUUGCUGGACCCACUUGCAAGGGAAGACUGGAAGUUGGGGAGUUAAUGCCGUCAUGACACUCUCAACCAGUGAAUCAUGAGCUAACUUCUGACUCAUGUGUAGUUGAAGCUUAUCCUUCAAGGACAGUCACCCUCCUACCAGCCACCUAGACUGGGAACCUGGAUAACCUUCCAGACAAAGCCCUCUCAUGCCCAGAAAAGGCCCUGCUGUGCUGUUCCUUUGAUGGUUAGUAGGUUUGCCCAUCCGGCAAGCAUAGCAGCUUUGCCUCCCUUCACCAAAGAGAAGUUCUGUAAAUGCUUGUCCUGAAUUUUAAAAACCAACAUGUUUUCCUCACUAUUAGCCAUCUAAGAGUUAGUCUUACUAAAUUUUUGUUAUAUUUGCCUAGUUCUCUGUCUGCUUAGAUAAACCUGAAUCAGUGUUAUCUUUAUUAGACCAUGUAUUCUUGAAAAUCAAAGAUUUCCAUUUUUUCCACUGGAAAAAUUCUAAUUACAUCAUAAAGGCACAAAAACAUAAUGCUGAUGCUGAUGCUGAUCAUAAAUACUCAGACUAUUAUAAUGUCUUUGUCUCAAUAAAAUUCUUUUGGUCCUGUGAUUCCAUCUCAUUUUAAAGACAAUUUAAUGCACAAUUAAUCUUUGUCUCCUGCAUUUCUCGAACCACUUCUUUGUGUGUGCUAAUUUGUCAAGCAAAACUUUAACCAACACCUCCUGGAAAUUUAGAAUAGAGAAUUUUGAGGCAUUCAUUUGAUUUCCUUGUCAUUUACUUCCUUAAAGAAGUCAAAAAAUUAUCGAAGCAUGACUUUUUCAUUCCAGAGACUGCAUUGGCUAUCCUUAAUCAAGCUGUGCUUUUCUCAGUGUUCCCCAUUUAAUCUCCUAAAAUACUUCCUAAGACGUUGCCCCCUACAAUGGAAUCAAAACUAAAUGGUCUGUAAUUUCCUCAAGUGUUCCCAGAUCCUGUUGUAAAUAAUGACAUUGUGCUGGCCACUUUCCAGUCUGAAUGAAGUGACCUUGUAAAAAUGUCUGCUUACUCUUCUAUAACGUCUUUUUCUACUUUCUGUAGGGCUCUUGGAUAGAGCUUGGCAAACAAUACCUAUUCCAAGAAACACCAUUCUUCACCUCAGUCAUGUUAUUUCCUUCAUAUAGGCAGUACUGUAUCCAGAGCUAAAAGACUUUUGCUUAAAAGUUAAUUAGUAUUUUAAAAUAAGGAAUUAUAGGUACGCUGUGGCAGAAGGCCAGCCUGUAUGACCUAUGAAUAUUUGAAUUGACAGGAAGAAAAUCUAUUGUGGUUUGUAAACUCUUCAAGAAAAUGUUGAACUUCCAUUCAAUCAUUAGAUAACUUUUAUUGUAAUCAUGUUCAGUAUCUUUUUUUGAUUAAAAAAAACCAAAAAACAUUUCCUGCGUUAUAGCACAAAACUAAUUAUUCCAAGCUGGCAGUUAGAAAAGGAGUAUUUCACUCUCUUGGUAGAGACAGUUGUUCUUUCUGAGCAAUUACAUUGUAUUCAAAUGAGAAAUAUGUGAUUUCUGGUUAAACCAAUGCUUUCCCCCUCUUCCCUGCAAAGAGGAUCAGGACAUCUGGUAUUGCCUAGGAAAAAGCAGCUAAACUCACUGAAGGGGCAGGGUACUUCUCACAUGAAGACAGACUAAAAAUACAAAAACCUAUUAGUGUGAAAUAACAAAAGCUGAAAGGGGAGAAAUAACUAGAACCUCUGAAUCCCAAGCUAUGUGGGACCACCAGCUAGACAAGCUAAUUAAAAUUUGCAGCCCCCUUUUUUUUUAUGGCCCACAUGGGCAUACGAGUUUUGUAAAUUAGAUGCAAGUUACUGCAACUAAAAGAAGUUAAAUAGAUGGAGAUAUUGGUAGUGUUCAACCCAAUGGCAGUGAUUUUAUUAUUUUCUUUAAGAAAAACCAAAGGGUAAUAAAUUUAUGGGAGCAUUUUGGACUUGAGAAAUCAAAUCAAGAUUUAAAAACAUUCUUGGAAGUUAUAAAGCUUACAAAUAGACCGGCAAAAUUUUUUCUUAAUAAGAUAAGAGCAAAAUAACUAUUUAAAAAAUGGCUGUUUCUGAUUUUCGGCAAAGUGAUUACCUUUGCUUGUGCUUUCAUAAAUAUAAACAUUACAUGCAUUUGUGGGGGUCAGUGUGUACUCUUUUACCUUCCCUUGGCAUUGCUCAUCUCUAUCAAACACCUACAACACAGUGUGCUCCAUUAUAGGAGACAGGCAGCACGGUUCUAUUUAAUUAACUAAUUGGAUGACUCAUCCUACACCUAAAUUAGCAUUAUUAGGUCUUUCAUAAUGAUUGUUGAAGCAUUGUAAAUUAAUUUUCUUACUGGCUAUAACCAUUAUUUGCUGCUAUCACAAUAUUAAGAGAUAAUCCCAUGCACAGUGGGAAAUCUCUAUGGGCAGAAAAUCAAUGUGGUCAUCCUUGGAUCACCAAUUAGGAAACCUAUUGUGUGGCAAAAACAUCAUUUCUAUGCUGUAAUAUGAUCAGAUAACCAUUAAUUACAUUCACUAGUAAGAAUUACCUUCUUUGUUGGAGAAGUAUUGCAUUCCAUAUUAUAGUUCAAAAAUGUCAGAGGAAACCAGCAACAAAAACAUCAAUUUCUAAAAAUGAUACAUGUAAUCUAAAUCAUAUUAACCUAACACGCUACAUGUCAAGUUAAAUUAGCAUAAGCUUUGUUACAGAACCUGAAUAAUAUAGCUUAUCUCUUAGCCUUUAGAUGUAUUGAUUAAAUAGGUCAUCCUCACCUGCCUACAAAUACAAAUAUAAUCAAACUGCACUGUUCUCUAGGGAACUGAAUGGCAAAAAACCUCUAGUAAGUGUCCAAUCCAGGCCUGUUUCUUUGUCUAAUACAGAGAUAACAGAAUGAAGAUAA
Non-coding RNA from Chlorocebus sabaeus (green monkey), 4808 nucleotides. Lineage: Eukaryota; Metazoa; Chordata; Mammalia; Primates; Cercopithecidae. The record is from RefSeq and is a predicted model, not a curated record.